AGCGUCCCUCCCGCCCCGCCGCUCACAGCGCCAUCGCAAGUGGCUAAGCCGCUUGUCAAUCAAGUCCCAGGCGCGCCUCCCCGGUCUCCUGUUGAAAAUUGGUGGGGUACGCCGCCAACGUUUUACCCAGAAGGCGUUGCUGCUUAUAGACGUCACAAUGAUGCCGGGGAGAGGAACGUCGCGGCUCAGGGCAAAUUGCCGCGCUGAUUGUUGACGUAAUAAGAGCCCGCCCGUCCUAGAGUCUCAUUGGCUGCAGCCUUGUAGCGCAUCCUCCCUAGGAUAUGAAUACGAAAGCAAUAAAGUCGUCGUUUUAGGAGGGAUGAAUCUGAAGCUAUCAGUCAAGGGCAUUUUAUACAACGGACAGAAAAGCUUCAUGUUCUGGAGGUCGCAUAUUUGAAUGGCCUCACAUAGAGAAGGCUCUGCUCACAGAAAAUUGAAGCACACGGGAGCACCGUUCAGAAUAGCCUUCUUGACAUUAAUACACCCCCCCCUUCUCCUUUCUACGAGUAGGGAGCUCUUUACACUCGAGUAUGUCUUCACACAAGUCAUUGCUGUACUGUACUAUGGAAUUGGCUAUCACAAGGUAAUAGUUAUGGGCAUCACAUCACCAGGAUUUGACAAACGCAUGAAAACUGAAGCCAUCAAUAGCUACUGGACAUAGUAUAUGUCUCUUCAUUACAUCCAGUACCUGGCCGUAUGCUCUUGACUGAUAGCUUGUGAACACAUGAGGGGAAAAACCUGACAGCAGGAAUUUGCUACAUCAGUGCAUGCUUACUUUGCAAUUGUUUGGAGGUCUCUGAAGAUGAAAAAUAACCCACUGUGAUGCAAGGGCUUUAGACCUGGACUAGCCAAGAUUUUGGAUUUGGAUACCUGGAGCCCACUGAGUGUAUUUCGUGUCAUAGUUACAAGAUAAAAACCUGUCUUCGCACAAUGAAUUGGUAACACCCCAGAGGGCUGCACAGGAUUUUUAUACUGGAAAAGUACAAACAACAGACAAGGAAUUUUUGUCAAGUUGCUUGAAAGUAAACAUUACAGAAAAUGGAAAAA
Podarcis muralis (Common wall lizard) is the source of this 1047-nucleotide non-coding RNA. The record is from RefSeq and is a predicted model, not a curated record. Lineage: Eukaryota; Metazoa; Chordata; Lepidosauria; Squamata; Lacertidae.